RNAcentral lists this ribosomal RNA (254 nucleotides) under uncultured bacterium. Its description in RNAcentral is "partial 16S ribosomal RNA". It matches the Rfam family "Bacterial small subunit ribosomal RNA", at positions 524 to 776 of the family's 1533-position model. The record is from RNAcentral.
UACGUAGGUGACAAGCGUUGUCCGGAUUUACUGGGCGUAAAGAGCGCGCAGGCGGUCGUUCAAGUCGAGUGUGAAAGCCCCCCGGCUCAACUGGGGAGGGUCAUUCGAUACUGAUCGACUCGAAGGCAGGAGAGGGUAGUGGAAUUCCCGGUGUAGUGGUGAAAUGCGUAGAUAUCGGGAGGAACACCAGUGGCGAAGGCGGUUCUCUGGGCAUUACCUGACGCUGAGGAGCGAAAGUGUGGGGAGCGAACAGG